AACAGGACAAGAAGCUCACAGCUCAGAGAAGGUUUUCUUGCUUCAGCCUAAAUCAGUGAAAAAAGAAGUCUUAUCCGCAAUGAAGAUCUACUUCUUGUCUCUUCUGUUGGUGGCGGUAGCCUGCUAUUUCCACGCCGAGGCAUUGCCAUCUCCCGAACCAGCAGACGUAGCCAAAGUGCCCUCGUCCGC
Long non-coding RNA from Macrobrachium nipponense, 189 nucleotides. RefSeq lists it as uncharacterized. The record is from RefSeq and is a predicted model, not a curated record. The transcript is spliced from 3 exons. Lineage: Eukaryota; Metazoa; Arthropoda; Malacostraca; Decapoda; Palaemonidae.